UUUUCCUUUUUUUUUUUUUUUUUUUUUUUUUUUUUUUUCCCCUUUUUUUUUUUUUUUUUUUUUUUUUUUUUUUUUUUUCUUUUUUUCUUCCCUUUCUUUUCUUAAAUAGCUUAAGUCAAAGCUUCGCAAGCCAGGACUUGAAGAAAGUCUUUUUUUUUUUUUUUUUUUUUUUUUAUCCCUGUCUGUUUUUUUUUUCUUCCCCAAAUCGCAUCCAAGCAAAUCUGUAACUGAGAUGAUUCAGUGCAGCAGCACUCAGGGCUUGGCUGCUCCGAGGGGCACAGGCUGGCCCUGGGAUGUGAUGGGAAGGGGCACUGGGUGGGCUGGGGGGCAUUCAGGGAGAGGUGCUCCUUCAGAAGGUGCUGAAUGGGGAGGAAUGUGGGUUUGGGGACAGAUGUUCACUCAGGAGAUGUGGUUUUGGGAAGGAGGAAGAUUUUGGGAAGGGUGCUGAAUUUAGGGGGUGAUUCUGGUUUGGGAUGGAUGUGGAUUUUGGGAGAGAUGCUGAAUUUAGGGGGUGAUUCUGGUUUGGGAUAGAUGUAGAUUUUGGGAGAGAUGCUGAAUUUGGUGGAUGAUGCUGGUUUGGGAUGGAUGUGGAUUUUGGGAGAGGUGCUAGUUUUGGAGAGAUGCUGGUCUGGGAACAAUGCUUAUUUUUGGGAGGGAUAAGGGUGUGCAAGGUGCUGCUUUAGAGAGGGCUGUUUGUUUGGAGGAGUCUUGGAAGGAUGCAGAUUUUGGGAGAGAUGCUGAUUUGGGAAGGGAUGCUGGUUUGGGAAGUGGUGCUUGUUUGGAGCAUGCUGGUCCAGGAAGGAUGCUGCUUUGGGGAUGCUGAUUUGGGGAGGAAUGCAGGUUUGGGGAGGAAUGCAGGUUUGUGGGAUGCUGGUUUAGGAAGGGAUGCUGCUUUGUGGGAUGCAGGUUCAGGGAGAGAUGCUGGUUUGUGGGAUGCUGGUUUGGGAAGGGAUGCUGCUUUGUGGGAUGCUGAUUUAGGGGGGGAUGCCGAUUUGGGGAGGGAUGCUGGUUUAGGGGAUA
This 1020-nucleotide long non-coding RNA is filed under the name Ficedula albicollis (Collared flycatcher). Its description in RNAcentral is "lncRNA (ENSFALG00000028932.1)". The record is from RNAcentral. Lineage: Eukaryota; Metazoa; Chordata; Aves; Passeriformes; Muscicapidae.